GAGAAAAGAAAAGAGCAGGUAAAUGCCAAUGGAUGGCUAGGAUGAUAGGGUUAAUCCUGAGCGAGUUUACCAAUGUAACUCAAAAUAUACCGUCUUUCUUAUCUCUCUCUUUCACUUGUGUAAUCCGCCGGCGAUAUAUAAGCCUAACUCUGGGAAUGGAAGAGUAAGAAGAAAGUUUAUCAAGCUAGGGUUUCGUUGUCCCCCUUUCUUCUUCCCCGAGCUCCGCCUCCAAAUCAGGGGUGACUCUAGAUCGAAUCCAUCCAUUAGCUCGGGUUCUUACGCCUUCCCAGGCCCUCGACGCCCGACGCCGUCCUCCCAGGCCCCCGACGCCGCCAUCUCAGGCUCCCGACGCCGUCCUCCCCGGCUCCCGACGCCGCCAUCUCAGGCUCCCGACGCCGUCCUCCCCGGGCCCUCGACGGCAGCUGCUGGGACGCCCGACGCCGCCCUCCCAGGAUCCCGACUCCGUCCUCGCCGGGCUCUCGGCGGCACCUGCUGGGACGCCCGACGCCGCCCUCCCAGGAUCUCGACUCCGUCCUCCCCGGGCCCUCGACGGCAGCUGCUGGGACGCCCGACGCCGCCCUCCCAGGAUCCCGACUCCGUCCUCCCCGGGCCCUCGACGGCAGCUGCUGGGACGACCUCUCCAAGCCGCCGCACGACGCUGUUCCCUGGCCUUGCCGGACGACCCCGCGGCCAAGCUGCUGGCGUUCGCUCUUCCAAAGCUCCGCCACACAAAACUCCCUCCCUCAACCUUGAGGUCCUUCCCAGCCAGGCGGCCCGCGAUAUCACCCUGAUCGAAACUCACCACCGAAUGAGUUUGCUAAUAGGUUAAAGCUAUGGGUGGCCCGUCGCUGUUCUAGAUCAAUUGUUUAUGUGGAAUUCCGACCAAUAGACCCUGAUGCAGUGUUAGAGCAGUGGAAUACUGUACACCCAAUUCCGGCAGAUCCUGAGGGGGCAGCUUCACCACAGCAGGCUGAGGGGGCAGCAUCACCACAACAGGCUGGGGGUGCUGCAGCAGAACAUGCCAGGAGGGCGGUGGAAAGUGCAAGAACCCUCUCUUGCACUGGUUCCUUUGUGCAUACAGACGGAAUUGACCCCCACCAUUAUGUAUUGACUUCUGCGCAUGCUGUUGCUCCAAUUUUCACCAGCAAUGUACCAAUGACAGCAUGGGACCUUAGUCACUUCUACGAACCACAUGUUCUUUGUUACCACCGUGAGCUGGACCACCAGAAUGGGCACGACAAUGUGAGGGUUUUCGUAAGAGGAUGGGUGGCUUUCUUGAGCUGCGAAAAUGAUCUGCUAAUGAUUCGCGUCACCCAACCCCAUAUGGAGGGGUACUGUCAGCAAGAUCAUCAGCCACUAACAUUUGCUUCUUCAUUUCCAAGACUCCUGAAUGAUGUGGUGAUGGUUUCAUGGCCAGAAGUUGGGAGAAGAUUGGCCGCUGUUUCUGGGGAGGUCUCCUACCCAAAUCGCCAUAUUGAUCUUUUAGAUGAAGUUAAUGUGUUUGGAUUUACUAUGGAACUCUCUGAGGUGAAUAUCACAUCGGAGAGUGGAAGUUUAGGGGCACCGUUACUUGACGGCGAGGGCAAUGUGGUUGGAGUACUGCAUGGUGGGAAUGGGCGGUUCUCCUUUUUCAUCUCUCUUGGUGACCUCAGGGAAGUUCUUAAUCAGUGGG
Molecule: long non-coding RNA, 1672 nt
Filed under: Triticum aestivum (bread wheat)
Lineage: Eukaryota; Viridiplantae; Streptophyta; Magnoliopsida; Poales; Poaceae
Description: long non-coding RNA (TAES_LNC017771)
Source: RNAcentral